GGUAUAAAAUGCCAAAGACUUUGUCAGGUGAUGUUGCUGUUAGAGCUGCAACUUUCCUUUCAUCUCCUGUGAAUUCAGUGGGCAGCUUCUUGAAAGUUCCCUUCUGGCAAGGUUAUCUUCGAUCUGUUAAUGGAAUUGUCACCUUUAUGGACUCAUGCUCCAUUUCUCAACCUGUCUGGACUUUGCCCUCCAAAGGUUACCAUGGCUAGUGAAGUAAUAUGAUUGAGUCUUUUUCGACAGAUUUAUGCAAGAUUUCUUCUCCAGCAAGUGUCACAUCUAGUCUAGUUCUGCAAAAGAGAAUAUUUCAAAGAUGCCAACUGUCAUCUAAACCCACUAAAUUGUUCUGUGGGGUUGAGAGGACUGAGGGCCAUCUUGGGCAAUGCUGAUUUACACUACCUGGAGCUGUAUCUCUGCUGGCUGAAAUAUGGGCUCUGGUUAAUCACAAAAAGAAGAACAUCCCUGUCUCCCAGAAAGCACAUUUAAAAUGGAAUUUUCAUUAGUUACUCUGUAAUGAAAAUGCAAAAGGGUGUAUUUUAAGUGAAUCUGUCCAGAAUCUUGGAAGAAGGGUGGAGGGGAGGGAGGGGUUAUUUGAAGGAAAAUUACAACAGCCACACGCUAAACACGGAAAAUUGGUCUUGAGUUCCACUUAAGGCACAUACAUCCAAAGACUAUUUUCAAGUUUAUAGAAAGAUUUUGGAAUUAUAAAGGAUUCACUGCACAUGUAUCUGGUCCUCCUGCAUUUGAUACAAAGCACAAAUUAAUCAUCAUUAAAAUUUGUCUUGAGUUCCAUUUAAGGCACAUACAACCAAAGAUUAUUUUCAAGUUUAUAGAAAGAUUUUGGAAUUAUAAAGGAUUCACUGCACAUGUAUCUGGUCCUCCUGCAUUUGAUACAAAGCACAAAUUAAUCAUCAUUAUUCUGCACUAAUAUAACACCUCUUAACCCUCAGCUUUCAGAAUAUUUCAAAGGAGCAAUGAAUUAAGCCUCAUGUGGGCUUGGGAAUAUGUGAUAAUCUAAACUUUGAUUCUUUAAUGAAAAGCAUUUUCAGGACUUUGAUUCUGGAAGUUGGAAACUUAUAAUUGUUCUUGAAAAUAUCUUCCUUUGUCACUCACUUGGAAAGAAACCAUGUGAGUACCAGAAAAGUGAUAUGAAAUGGAAAAAUAUAUUAAGCAAAAGUUAAUAAAUUUGUCUGUACUUAUUUUUGUUAUUUAUUGAACCAAAAAUACCUGGGUAAAUCGAGGUGCUUAUAUGAUAUAGGUGUAAAAAAGGCAAAUUGGAUGCCUGUUGGUAACUAAAAGAGUGCAGGGGGAAAUAAUGUUGCCACUGUACAAGUCUCUUGCAAGCCAUCAUUUAAACAUUACACAGUAUGUCAGACUGAUCACUCAUGCUCAGAAAAGAUGAAUUCUGAGUGACAGAAAUGCAGGAAAAACUAUUAGAUAAUCCACAGAUUGCUGUUAUGACAGAAAAUAAAUGAUUAAUAUUUAAUUUGGCAAAACAAAUAAGGGACUUCAAUAGUGUCUACAAAUACAUUGUGGGAGGAGAGCAAGUCUUAUACUAAAAUAAACUAUCACUGUAUGACUAUACGGAGGGCAGAAAUAAAUUUGUUUUUAACGAACAGAGGAAUGGAAUUCUGGAACAAAAUCAGGUCCAUUUCUUGGGGCUUCAUUUUACUGCUUUUCAGUUGAACAAAACAUUUGGGUAUCUCCCCAGCCACGGUGCCUUGUUAUAGGCCACUGAACUAAUGUGAAACAGCUCAUCUGUGUCUUUGAACUUUACACUUUCUCUGCAUGGAGCACUUCCCUGGCCAGAGGGGUGGCCCUACACUGGGAUUUGUCCCCACGGGCCAGGUCUGACUCAGAUCGGGAUGUGCACAUCUCAGAAAAGAGAAAUUUAAAUCUCACUACACCGCAGACCUCCUGGGGAGCAAAGCAGAGCAUGAGGGCACACAUUCACACCAUGCUGUAAGAUGACUUGGAAUUACAUCCGGGGGGGAGGGGGUGGUAUUUUAUUUUUUAAUCUAUCUAUUCAAAGCUAAAUAUUUGGAAUAAUGCAAGAAACCCCCAAACACUGCAGUUUGGGCUGAAUGUCGUUUCUAGGCCAGACCAGACACAAGGUAUUCCCAAAGGAAAAAUCUAUUUUCACCCAGAUUUUAGUUUGGUAUAAGCAGUGUUUUCCAUCAGAAAAUCAUCCCAAUGGAAAAUUACUAACUGGUCCUAGUACAAAGUGACUAGCAAAGCUCUCAAAAUGAUUCAGUGGCAAGGCUGGAAUGAGAACCCACAGCCCCUGACCACGAACCCUGUGCACUAACCACGAGACAAACACUCAUCUUUCCCUGAGCAAGGUUGUUCCUGCAGCAUUUCUGCUCGGGCCGAAGUGGGAAUACUCUGGAAAUGUUGCAAGAGGACUUUUUUUUUUGCUGCCAGAUUUCCUGUUGUAGAAUAUUUGGGGGGUAACGGGAAAAAUCCCUGGUGGCUCCCUGGGGCCAGAAGUGUUUGGACAUGAUGGGAAUGCGAGGCUGCCAUCAGCUCCUCCCUGCGUGGGCUGAGGAGGGUCAGGCAGGGGAGCGCUGGGAUCUGCUCCCAAGCCGUGCAGUGCUCAGCCAUGGCUGCGACUCGAUCAUCUGAGACGUCUUUUCCAACCUCACUGGUUCUGUGAUUUCUCUGUUUUCCAGGGAUGCAUUUAAGGGCAUCCCACUGCCCCAUCCUCUCUCCAUUUUAAGCAAACCUUAACUAAACCCAGGGUUUUCUUGCUCACACCAGCAAUUCUCCAAUUUUUCAGGUAAAACUCUCAGAGCGACCCCACGCAGAAAACCAAACUCAUAGCUUGCAGCCCUGUUCGACUCAUUUAAGGAGCAUUUACAUUACAUUUAAGGAAGCUCAGGGUGAGAGAUAUCCUGAGCCCUGACAUUCUCUC
This 2911-nucleotide long non-coding RNA is filed under the name Ficedula albicollis (Collared flycatcher). Its description in RNAcentral is "lncRNA (ENSFALG00000025005.1)". Lineage: Eukaryota; Metazoa; Chordata; Aves; Passeriformes; Muscicapidae. The record is from RNAcentral.